Rhincodon typus (whale shark) is the source of this 712-nucleotide long non-coding RNA. RefSeq lists it as uncharacterized. The transcript is spliced from 4 exons. The record is from RefSeq and is a predicted model, not a curated record. NCBI's taxonomy places the organism in Eukaryota, Metazoa, Chordata, Chondrichthyes, Orectolobiformes, Rhincodontidae.
AGCGAACCAGGACAUAGAAAGAAAUGUACCCAGGACGAGCGCUGUUAAAAUACUUUCAUUCCUGAACUUCAUCUCAUGCCAGAAACACACAAAGCGAACAGUGUGCAUAGACUUGGUGACCAACAAACUUCAGUCUCACUUGCAAACAUGAUCUCACCUCUGGCUGCUUUCCCUGGAAACAGACUGAGUACACUGUCGGGAACCCAUCCACCAAUGGACAGAAUGCAACUGCAGACUUGUCACCAGACCCUUGAAGCUUCCAUCUAUCAGCAGCUUACAAGAGCAGCCCCUCCAUUUGAACAUGACUUGCUACGACUGGUUUAGUGAGUUCUAAGAUGGCUGACAAAUCUGCUGUAUGAACUGCAAACUCUACCACAUGUGAGAUUCUGAAAGUCUUUUCUGUGUACUUACACCCCAAGGACUACAGUGGUUCAAGAAGAGGGCUCACCACCGUCUUCUCAAGGACAGUUUGGAAUGGGCAACAAAUAGCCAGUGGCACUCACAGUCUGUGAAUGCAUUUUAACAAAAAGUAAAUGUCGCCAACUUAAAAUGGACAUAUUUCUGGAUGUUUCUUCAUAGCAUUCUACUACCCAGCAUUCCUGUCAGUGGACAACUGACACAGCUGCCCUUCAAUUUCACAUACCAAUUGGAAAGCAAUCACAUUCUUCAUUGUGCAGUUGAAUGAAUCUUGACUGUUACUGCAACAGCUUUU